GUGGGGAAUUUUGGACAAUGGGGGCAACCCUGAUCCAGCCAUGCCGCGUGCGGGAAGAAGGCCUUCGGGUUGUAAACCGCUUUUGUCAGGGAAGAAAUCCUUUGGGUUAAUACCUCGGAGGGAUGACGGUACCUGAAGAAUAAGCACCGGCUAACUACGUGCCAGCAGCCGCGGUAAUACGUUGGGUGCGAGCGUUAAUCGGAAUUACUGGGCGUAAAGCGUGCGCAGGCGGUUUUGUAAGAUCGAUGUGAAAUCCCCGGGCUCAACCUGGGAACUGCAUUGGUGACUGCAAGGCUGGAGUGCGGCAGAGGGGGAUGGAAUUCCGCGUGUAGCAGUGAAAUGCGUAGAUAUGCGGAGGAACACCGAUGGCGAAGGCAAUCCCCUGGGCCUGCACUGACGCUCAUGCACGAAAGCGUGGGGAGCAAACAGGAUUAGAAACCCGAGUAGUCC
Molecule: ribosomal RNA, 450 nt
Filed under: uncultured bacterium
Lineage: Bacteria
Description: partial 16S ribosomal RNA
Rfam family: Bacterial small subunit ribosomal RNA
Source: RNAcentral